CAGCAGCCACGGUAAUGCGUAGGUGGCGAGCGUUGUCCGGAUUUAUUGGGUUUAAAGGGAGUGUAGGCGGUCUGUUAAGCGUGUUGUGAAAUUUAGGUGCUCAACAUCUAACUUGCAGCGCGAACUGGCGGACUUGAGUGCACGCAACGUAUGCGGAAUUCAUGGUGUAGCGGUGAAAUGCUUAGAUAUCAUGACGAACUCCGAUUGCGAAGGCAGCGUACGGGAGUGUUACUGACGCUUAAGCUCGAAGGUGCGGGUAUCGAACAGGAUUAGAUACCCGCGUAGUCCCUGUCUCUUAUAA
This 301-nucleotide ribosomal RNA is filed under the name uncultured bacterium. RNAcentral's name for it is "partial 16S ribosomal RNA". It matches the Rfam family "Bacterial small subunit ribosomal RNA", at positions 509 to 809 of the family's 1533-position model. The record is from RNAcentral.